CCUUUGUCAGGGACUAUCGUCUGAUGUAUUGUCCGGACGCCGCCUUCCUUUCUUCAUGCUGGCCCACGUCAGGAAAUAGGGUACAGUAAUUGCAUGGCCCUUUUUGAGUCUGCCGUCUGACCUAUACAUAUGUAAUGGGAAAGGUGUUGGAACAACUAAUUACAUGGAGGUGAUGUGUAAAUUUGGGACUUGAGUUGUCAGCAGUUGGUUGAAAAGAGCAUAGAUGGAAUCACACUCUUUCUCUUAUUCAUCUUUAGAAUCCUGGGUUGGCCACUUUAUGAAACAUUCGCGUCUAUUUAGGCCAAAAGUACGACAAAUCUAUCCACAUCGAACAUGGAGCGGAUUACCGUAUUGUACAUAGAAACGUUUGAAGAUGGUAUGGAAUAGAUGCAUGUUGGAGUAAUGUUCCAGAAAGCAGCAUUCCAGGGGCAAGAAUCCAAGUUGAAAGGCUGAUCAACACUUCAUAUAUUGUUAAACUUGUUUUCUUUGCUCCUUGGUGAAUUAGAAUUAAAUUGGAAAUUGAAAGUUAUUGAACUAAUUUGCCAAUCAGUUAGAUGGAAUUUGUGGAAGUUGCCGAAAUGUCAGGACGGAGUGAUACGCAAAAUUUGGAGUCGAAAAAAGUGUUUGCAUGUGGUGAAUGCUAAGAACGUCUGUUGGCAGUUCCAGAAAUUUUAAGGCUUGGGACACGAUACAGGCUGUAGAUGGUAGAAUUUGCAUUGCAAGUCAAAAUCGUGUGUUGUUGCCUGUCGACUAUUAAGUAACAAGUUGGAGCUAAUGUGUCAUAAAAUGAUUACUUCUUAGAUACUAAAAAUAAAUACACAAAGAUAUAAUUGGAA
Long non-coding RNA from Daphnia carinata, 836 nucleotides. RefSeq lists it as uncharacterized. The record is from RefSeq and is a predicted model, not a curated record. NCBI's taxonomy places the organism in Eukaryota, Metazoa, Arthropoda, Branchiopoda, Diplostraca, Daphniidae. The transcript is spliced from 5 exons.